Loxodonta africana (African savanna elephant) is the source of this 108-nucleotide small nuclear RNA. Lineage: Eukaryota; Metazoa; Chordata; Mammalia; Proboscidea; Elephantidae. The record is from Ensembl.
GUGUUUGAUUCUGCAGUACAUAUACUUAAAAUUGGAGGGAUACAGAGAAGAUUAGCAUGGCCCCCAUGCAAGGAUGACACACAAAUUCAUGAAGUGUUCUACAUUUUU